Long non-coding RNA from Amphiprion ocellaris (clown anemonefish), 1750 nucleotides. The record is from Ensembl. Lineage: Eukaryota; Metazoa; Chordata; Actinopteri; Pomacentridae.
UUUACAGUGGACUUAUGAUCACUUCCUGUCCUCUGUGACAUACAUUCACUCGGUGUGGUUUUGUAUAUUUUUAGGGCUUUACAUGCACGUUAAGAUGCUCUUCUGACCAUCAGUUAUCAUAAACACUGAAGUCUGUCAGAGGCUGGAGCUACAAGGGCCUUGAAAUGAGUGAGAAGAUAAGUCUGACUCUUUUUUUUCCUUCUGUAUCAGGCUACCGAGUCAGUCCCCAGGCUCUCAAUGCAAUCAUAAAGCGCUACAACAAAGGGGGCAGGAUCUUCUUUGAUGACCUGCUGUGUCAAACUGCGAGCUCUCACAGACAACUUCAGACGGAGAGAUACCAUGCAGCAGGGGUCUGUCACCUUCCAGUAUGAUGACUUUAUCCUGUGCACAAUGGCCAUCUAAGUGCUGCCAUCUGCACUGCACCACCAGGUCAGCACGUUUAUGUGCCAGUCAGCGGCUGAUUCUGGAUCAGAACCUCACAGGAAUACAAAGGGAGGCCAGUAUAAGACUGAGCGGCUGCGAGUCGCGUCAGAAAAGUACUCAUUGCUUGUAACGCUUAGUGUAACGCUUUAGUCUUGUAUGUAACACAGGGAUGUGCUGAAGAUGUAUCCGGUGCACACAUAUAUACACACAGUAUGUAUCCAUAUUAGAGGGGAAUAUUUUACAUGUCACUGCCUAUAAAGCCUUUAUGAGGAGGAUGUCUGCCUGAAAUUCUGCCUGUGAUGUAACACAUGAUGACUUAACAAUUGCAAAAAUUGUGUAACUGCAUAGAAAUUGUCCACUUAAAGAGUUUAAAGAAGGGAGAAUCGAAGAAUGAGAUUUUUUAGCAAGACUUUAAUGGAAUGUGCACAGUUCUUCUGACCUGUGAGACACCUGUUGUGCCAUUUUAAUAUCUGAAUGUAUGUUCUAAUAUAGUAAAACAUAAACACACACAUAUAUAUUUAUAUAUGUGUGUAUGUGUUGAUUGACUGCAGUAUGAUGAUGCUAAUUUGCUUUAACUUAGCUUUAGGCAGUUAUGUAUGGAAUCACAGGAGUGCCAUAAUGAAAGAUAAACCUGUUAAAAAAUAAGGAAAUAAAUGUGUAAAUAUAAAGAGGAAUAAAUAAAUAAAAAACAAAUCUGUUUAAAGAAAAAUAAAUAAAUGUCUAAAUAUAAAGAGGAAUAAAUAAAAGAAAAAAUUAAAACUAAAUCUGUUACAGAAAGGAUAUAAAUGUGUAAAUAUAAAGGGGAAUAAAUAAAAAAAUAAAUGAGGAAAUAAAUGUCCAAAUAUAGACGAAUAAAUUAAAGAAAAAUUAAAAAAAAUAAAUCUGUUAAAAAAAGGAAAUAAAUGUGUAAAUAUAAAGAGGAAUAGAAAAAUAUGGAAAUAUAAGGGUAAAUUUUGUCUUUUCUUUUCCCUUUGUUUUUUUUUUUUGUUUUUUUCCCUAGACAGGAAGUCCCGCCCAAAGCCUUUUGAUUGACAGCUCAGUCCAUCAAGUAAAAGCAAAUGCAAAAAGGAAAAAGAAAUGACAAAAUGGAAAACCAGAAGAUUAAAAACAAAGGGAAAAGGGAAAAGCAAAGACAAAAAUUACCUUUGUAUUUCCAUAUUUUUAAAUUAUUUUUUCAUUUGUUCCUCUUUAUAUUUACAUUUAUUUCCUAUUUUUAACAGAUUUUUUUUAUUUAUACUUUAAUUUAUUCCUCUUUAUAGUUACACAUUUAUUUCCCUAUUUUUUUACAUAUUUAUUUUUUAAUUUCUUCUUUUAUUUAUGCUUCUUU